UGGAAUUUGCAAAAUGAGGAUGAAAAAAAGAAAUAUGGUGAAACUGCUAAAGCCCUUAGCUCAGUUGAUAUAAAAGUGUUGGAUGAUGAGCAAAAGAGAAAGCUUAUUGAAAGACACUGCAAAAAGCUAGUCGAGGAGAUCAGGAUACUGGAGGAUUUGGGCUGCCAGACUUCAUCUUUGAUGAUCAACAAUGAAGGCACUGUUUUCCAACUGGGAUCCAAUGAAGGAAAUCAUUUUUUAUCUUGCAACCCCGAUAUUGGCAUAAAAUUUCGUGAGUAUUUUGGUAGUUCUGUUAAGAAGUACCGCAGAAAUGAUGUGCAAGAUCUCUUUAACAAGAAAUACAGUGAAGCGGUUGGAAAGAGCUGCCGGGUGCCGUACUCGAAAUGUGGAUUCAGAGUUGUUGGUCUCCCUGAAGAUAUUUCUUUUAAGAAACCAUAUAACUAUGGUUCCUUGCAACUAAAGAAAAUCA
Molecule: long non-coding RNA, 469 nt
Organism: Dendronephthya gigantea
Lineage: Eukaryota; Metazoa; Cnidaria; Anthozoa; Malacalcyonacea; Nephtheidae
Exons: 4
Source: RefSeq, a predicted model, not a curated record